UAUGGCGACCGGCGCACGGGUGAGUAACACGUAUCCAACCUGCCGAUGACUCGAGGAUAGCCUUUCGAAAGAAAGAUUAAUACCCGAUGGCAUAGUUCUUCCGCAUGGUAGAACUAUUAAAGAAUUUCGGUCAUCGAUGGGGAUGCGUUCCAUUAGGUUGUUGGCGGGGUAACGGCCCACCAAGCCUUCGAUGGAUAGGGGUUCUGAGAGGAAGGUCCCCCACAUUGGAACUGAGACACGGUCCAAACUCCUACGGGAGGCAGCAUG
This 267-nucleotide ribosomal RNA is filed under the name uncultured bacterium. RNAcentral describes it as "partial 16S ribosomal RNA". It matches the Rfam family "Bacterial small subunit ribosomal RNA", at positions 87 to 353 of the family's 1533-position model. The record is from RNAcentral.